CUCUGCAUUAAUCACUUUCCUGUUACUGGAAAAAGAUACCUGAAACCAGCAAUUUAAAGAGAGGUUAUUUUGGCUCAGUUUCAGUGCAUUCAGUCCAUGGUCAGCUGGCUCCAAGGCAGAAAUCUCAUGGCAGAAUGGUGGAAGAAAACUGUUUACCACAUGGUGAGCAAGCAGCAAGAGAAAAGAGUCAGGGAUGCGAGGCAUCUUUAACUUCCUGGUGUGUCCACUGCACUUUCAGCUUUAUUCUCACGCAUUGCUCUCUCAUGGGCUCCUGGCAGGGACUGUAACCCUGUUACACAUUGUGGGGUGGGUGGGGUGGCUGGCCUUCAAAGCCUUUUCAAAUAUGGGUGGAAGCUUCUAUGACCUCAGAACUCUUGCACUUUGUGUGACUGAAAAUCUAGCAUCGGGUGGAUGGCAUCAGGGCUGGCCACUAGCUAGGCUCCUUUGGACCAUGGCUGCAGCAGCCUCUAAGUGCCUAGAUGGCUAAACUUCGGGAUACAUUGGCUGACAGCUCUGUGAAUGAGCAUAUGUCCCAUGGACUCUUCUCAAGUGAAAAAUUUAGUUUUGUACCUUUGAGCCUGUAAUGGGUGAGUUCUUGACUUCUGGAAUGCCUUCAAGAUAUCUUUCUUCUUGUCCUUGUACAAAGUACUUGGCUUCUUUUUGAUGCUCUAACAUUUGCAGUAAUUAUCCUCUUUGCUCCAUCUUUGCAGGUACCUCCUUUCUAAUCAAAGUGCAAAUUUUCUAAAUCUGUAAGUUCCGCCAUUUGUUCCUGAUUCUUACUGAAGAUCUGGCUAAAAGCAGUCAGCAGUACUCAGACUGAAUGAUAGUCUGCCAUCCUUAAACUGUCUUUUAGUUUCAAGACAUGGGCAAAAUGGUCUCUAAUUCAACUACCAAUGGAGUCUUUGUUCAUAACAGAAACCUCUUUAGCCUGGCCUUUACUGUCUGCAUUCCUAUCAGCAUUCUGGUAUUCUGAGAUCUGACCAGUAUCACAAAUCAAGCACUGCUCACAACAUUCUAGGCCUUUUCUAGCCAACAUCUUCAAAGUUUUCGAAACUCCUCCUACAAACCAGUUCCAAACACAUCUGAAUCAUCUGGUCAGAUGGUCAUUGUAAUGGUUCCACUCCUGAUACCAAUUUUCUGUAUUAGUCACUUUCCCAUUACUGGGACAAAAUACCUGACAGCCACAACUUAAAAGAGGAGAGAGGUACAUUUUGCCUCAUAGUUUCAGUGGGUUCAGUCCAAGGUAAACUUACUCCAAGGCAGAAAUGGCAUGGAAGACAAAAGCUGUUCAAUGCAUGGUGGCCAGAUGCAGAGAGGAGCAGCUAGGGACAAGAAUAUACUCUUCCAAGUCAUGCUGCCUCCAGUGACUCUCCCCUUCCAACCAGAGCCCACAUCCAAACAUGAGCCUUUUGGGGCUAUUUUAGAUCAAAAUCAUAACAUUUGUGAUUUCUAAAUUCCAAUGAACAGAGGAAAGGACAAGGAUCCCAG
Molecule: long non-coding RNA, 1488 nt
Organism: Heterocephalus glaber (naked mole-rat)
Lineage: Eukaryota; Metazoa; Chordata; Mammalia; Rodentia; Bathyergidae
Source: Ensembl